RNAcentral lists this ribosomal RNA (850 nucleotides) under uncultured bacterium. RNAcentral's name for it is "bacterial SSU rRNA". It matches the Rfam family "Bacterial small subunit ribosomal RNA", at positions 9 to 868 of the family's 1533-position model. The record is from RNAcentral.
GACUUUGAUUAUGGCUCAGGACGGAACGCUGGCGGCGCGGCCUAACACAUGCAAGUCGAACGAGCGAGAGAGAGCUUGCUUUCUCGAGCGAGUGGCGAACGGGUGAGUAACGCGUGAGGAACCUGCCUCAAAGAGGGGGACAACAGUUGGAAACGACUGCUAAUACCGCAUAAGCCCACGGCUCGGCAUCGAGCAGGGGGAAAAGGAGCAAUCCGCUUUGAGAUGGCCUCGCGUCCGAUUAGCUAGUUGGUGAGGUAACGGCCCACCAAGGGCGACGAUCGGUAGCCGGACUGAGAGGUUGAACGGCCACAUUGGGACAGAGACACGGCCCAGACUCCUACGGGAGGCAGCAGUGGGGAAUAUUGCACAAUGGGGGAAACCCUGAUGCAGCGACGCCGCGUGGAGGAAGAAGGUCUUCGGAUUGUAAACUCCUGUUGUUGGGGAAGAUAAUGACGGUACCCAACAAGGAAGUGACGGCUAACUACGUGCCAGCAGCCGCGGUAAAACGUAGGUCACAAGCGUUGUCCGGAAUUACUGGGUGUAAAGGGAGCGCAGGCGGGAAGACAAGUUGGAAGUGAAAUCUAUGGGCUCAACUCAUAAACUGCUUUCAAAACUGUUUUUCUUGAGUAGUGCAGAGGUAGGCGGAAUUCCCGGUGUAGCGGUGGAAUGCGUAGAUAUCGGGAGGAACACCAGUGGCGAAGGCGGCCUACUGGGCACCAACUGACGCUGAGGCUCGAAAGUGUGGGUAGCAAACAGGAUUAGAUACCCUGGUAGUCCACACCGUAAACGAUGAUUACUAGGUGUUGGGAGGGUUGACCCCUUCAGUGCCGCAGUUAACACAAUAAGUAAU